RNAcentral lists this ribosomal RNA (460 nucleotides) under uncultured bacterium. Its description in RNAcentral is "partial 16S ribosomal RNA". It matches the Rfam family "Bacterial small subunit ribosomal RNA", at positions 338 to 795 of the family's 1533-position model. The record is from RNAcentral.
CCUACGGGAGGCAGCAGUAAGGAAUAUUCGUCAAUGGACGAGAGUCUGAACCAGCCAAGUAGCGUGAAGGAUGACUGCCCUAUGGGUUGUAAACUUCUUUUAUAAAGGAAUACAACGAGGCACGUGUGCCUUUUUGCAUGUACUGUAUGUAUCAGGAUCGGCUAACUCCGUGCCAGCAGCCGCGGUAAUACGGAGGAUCCGAGCGUUAUCCGGAUUGAUUGGGUUUAAAGGGAGCGUAGGUGGGUUGUUAAGUCAGUUGUGAAAGUUUGCGGCUCAACCGGAGAAGUGCAAUUGAUACUGGGAGACUUGAGUACAGUAGAGGUAGGCGGAAUUCGAGGUGUAGCGGUGAAAUGCGUAGAUAUCACGAAGAACCCCGAUUGCGAAGGCAGCUUACUAAACUGUGACUGACAUUGAGGCUCGAAAGUGUGGGUAUCAAACAGGAUUAGAUACCCCUGUAGUC